AUCUACAGUUGUACCACCCUAAUAUCUUCUGAUCUCAGAAGCUAAGCAGGGUCAGGCAGGAUUAGUCUUUGGAUGGGGAAAAGCCAAGUAACAAAAGUCU
This is a ribosomal RNA of Cavia aperea (Brazilian guinea pig), 100 nucleotides long. NCBI's taxonomy places the organism in Eukaryota, Metazoa, Chordata, Mammalia, Rodentia, Caviidae. The record is from Ensembl.